CAGCAGCCGCGGUAAAACGUAGGGUGCAAGCGUUAAUCGGAAUUACUGGGCGUAAAGCGUGCGCAGGCGGUUAUAUAAGACAGAUGUGAAAUCCCCGGGCUCAACCUGGGAACUGCAUUUGUGACUGUAUAGCUAGAGUACGGCAGAGGGGGAUGGAAUUCCGCGUGUAGCAGUGAAAUGCGUAGAUAUGCGGAGGAACACCGAUGGCGAAGGCAAUCCCCUGGGCCUGUACUGACGCUCAUGCACGAAAGCGUGGGGAGCAAACAGGAUUAGAGACCCCCGUAGUCCCUGUCUCUUAUAA
This 301-nucleotide ribosomal RNA is filed under the name uncultured bacterium. RNAcentral describes it as "partial 16S ribosomal RNA". It matches the Rfam family "Bacterial small subunit ribosomal RNA", at positions 509 to 809 of the family's 1533-position model. The record is from RNAcentral.